AUUGAACGCUGGCGGCAGGCCUAACACAUGCAAGUCGAGCGGAUGAAGGGAGCUUGCUCCUGGAUUCAGCGGCGGACGGGUGAGUAAUGCCUAGGAAUCUGCCUGGUAGUGGGGGAUAACGUCCGGAAACGGGCACUAAUACCGCAUACGUCCUGAGGGAGAAAGUGGGGGAUCUUCGGACCUCACGCUAUCAGAUGAGCCUAGGUCGGAUUAGCUAGUUGGUGGGGUAAAGGCCUGCCAAGGCGACGAUCCGUAACUGGUCUGAGAGGAUGAUCAGUCACACUGGAACUGAGACACGGUCCAGACUCCUACGGGAGGCAGCAGUGGGGAAUAUUGGACAAUGGGCGAAAGCCUGAUCCAGCCAUGCCGCGUGUGUGAAGAAGGUCUUCGGAUUGUAAAGCACUUUAAGUUGGGAGGAAGGGCAGUAAGUUAAUACCUUGCUGUUUUGACGUUACCAACAGAAUAAGCACCGGCUAACUUCGUG
Molecule: ribosomal RNA, 484 nt
Filed under: uncultured bacterium
Lineage: Bacteria
Description: partial 16S ribosomal RNA
Rfam family: Bacterial small subunit ribosomal RNA
Source: RNAcentral